CCCAUUUGUUGUGUUCUCCAUAAUUGCGGUGUUUGCUCGCCCCUCCUCUCCUAAUGUGCAGCUUUGUAAGAAAAACAAAUUCCACGAAGAAUUUAAGCUUGAAAUGCAGGUUGAACUGAGAAAUUAUGAAGGAUGAUGUUGCAGUUGUUUCAAAGCAGGUGGGAGGGCCAAACGCCGAAGUCUCCGCAGGCUUCCCCCAUUUUUUAAACACUGAAUCAUUUACAGCAGAGUGUGUGAUUCACUUCGAAGCAGUGCUUCUCUUCCUCCCUCUUUCUGCCAUGCUGCAUCUCACCUUGAAGAUGAAUUAUCGAACACUGAGUUCUUGACAAAACAGAGGUACAAUUAACAGGCUGACUCACCGCACUGGCAGAUACCUCACUAAAGUCCCGCACAGCACACAUCUUUUGUUUCAUCGCAGGGAGGGUGAGAGGCACAUACCUAACAAACCGGCAGGCAGGGCGAGGCCGAGCCACAUUCCCAUGUCAGAGGAAGAAAAGAAACAAAGAUGCUGCUGCAGAGUUGUCAAACCGAUGAUGUGGCCUUUAUUGAGAUCCAGUCCAAGAUCACUCUUUAAAUCGUAGAGAUGACUGUGUGGGAAAAUCCCAGAAGAUCUGCAGUUACUGGAACACUCAGACCAGCCUGUUACCAACAACCAUGCCACCUUCUAAGUCACUUCUUCUCCAUUUGGGGGCUCGGUUUGAGCUUCAAGAAGUCAUCUUUAACAUGUCCAAAUGCUGCCACGUGAUUGGCUGAUUAGAUAUUUUGUUAAUGUGCAGUUGAAAAGGUGUACCUAACAAAGUGGCCAGUGGGUGUAUAUCGUGUUAGAUAACAUGAACUUCAUGUCAUCUAAAGGCUGCAGGGAAUGACUAAUGAGCUAAACGUCUAAUCAGCACGUUCAUAAAAGGCUAACGUCGCCACAACAAGUCAUGUGACUUUCAGUGAAGCCAGAGGCUGCGACUGCUUCUGAUGGGACUUCUCAUUAUAGUUGAUCAAGUUUGUGUCUCCAGUGUGAUUAGUUAUUGUACUUCUAAUUUAAUUUUUCUAGGUUAUAUUAAUUUGUGGUGCAUAUUAAGUUGUGCAAUAUUAUUUAAUGUCGUUGCGUAAUUGAGUUUAUUAUGUGAUUGAUUAUUUAAUUAGCACUUUAUAAUUUUAUGUGAAACUUUUAAGUUGAUUAUUGUAGCACCUCAUGAAAGGCAAUUAUAGUUCCUACUUGCUUGAGUCCAUGGUAGGACUGCUUAGAGUGUAACGUGCCCUGAGUAACGUGGACUUUGGAGAAGAAUGCGAUGCUGGCUGUCUCGCCAUGUUGCUGUUUAUUAUGGAAGCUACUUUAAAGAGAAGCUGUAGCCCACCAAACAACCACAGCCCACAGAGGCCACUACCACAGCAAGGUGGAGCAUCAACCUUUCUAUUACACCGUCAUAUUUGUAUAUAUGGGCAAACAGAUGAAGUCAGAAAAUUAGACUUUUAUUUAAGUGAGUUUUUACUGAAUGUGUAGCUCAGCCUUCAAGCUUCUCUGUCACCUCCUAAAGAAAUAAGCAGCUAUUUCAGUCACAUCAAAUCAUCUUAUUGGUUUUGGAAUUGCUGAUGUGAUUUUAUUACACUGCAUUAUGUUUUAUAAAGUGGUCAAAGCAGCCCAAAUAAAUGUAGAAAAUUAAAGUAGCAUGAAAGUGAACUGCCCCAAAAUUUAACUUAACCUCUUCAGUGGAGGCUCGUUUUCAGUUCUAGGGUGCACGUGUUUAUAAAACCAUAAGUGGCGCCAUUUUUU
Molecule: long non-coding RNA, 1765 nt
Organism: Oreochromis aureus
Lineage: Eukaryota; Metazoa; Chordata; Actinopteri; Cichliformes; Cichlidae
Source: Ensembl